UUCCGGAGUUUCACACCCAUCAGUCACAACAGUCGAUGGGUGUGAACCUCUAGAAAA
This 57-nucleotide microRNA precursor is filed under the name Octopus vulgaris (common octopus). Its description in RNAcentral is "Ovu-Mir-12538_pre stem-loop". RNAcentral also lists the same sequence under 1 other name. The record is from RNAcentral. Lineage: Eukaryota; Metazoa; Mollusca; Cephalopoda; Octopoda; Octopodidae.